RNAcentral lists this long non-coding RNA (859 nucleotides) under Trifolium pratense (red clover). Its description in RNAcentral is "long non-coding RNA (TPRA_LNC010364)". Lineage: Eukaryota; Viridiplantae; Streptophyta; Magnoliopsida; Fabales; Fabaceae. The record is from RNAcentral.
AAAUUUCGGUUAACAGAAACUGUUUUUUUUUUUUUAAGGCAAAAAAAAUUCGGUUCGUAGAAACCGAAGUUUUUAUUGAACGACAAAAAAGUAAAAUCCAGAUGAUGAAAAAGAACCAUGAAAGCCUAAAGAGAAAACAUCUAGAUUCUAUAUAUGAGUGCCAAAAUCAAGAGAGUUGUACACAACAGGCUUGUAGAAUUGCUCAACAAAAAAAAAAAGGCUUGUAGAAUAUUUCUAUGAGUUAUCAUUUAGUUAUUACGCUUGUAUGACUCUAUGAACUAAGCUUAGUUUUUCUUGUGAUAUUGAGUAAUGUGUGUUUAAUAUAUUUUGCCAUUUCAAAUUAAAAUUUGUACCUAUAACUAUAGUGAAAAUGAUUAAGUAAUUAAAAUAACCAAUUAUUCUAUUUUCACAAUUAUCAUAAGAAUGACAUGUAAUAGGGAUUAGUUGUUUUUGAUGUAUGUUUAUACAUUGAGUUUGGUUAUUUUAAUCAUCCUCCAACCAAAUAAAUGCGUAAGAAUAAUUUUUUCCAUCUCUUUUUCUAAUUUAAUGCUACUAAUUAUCUUUUUGUUACACUAAAACAUACACAACUUUAUCUUUAUUUGAAUUUUCUUCAGUUUUAGAAACAAACAACAAUUUUUAUUUUUCACUCAAUUCUACUAUGUUUUUAUUUAUAUAUUUGAGAAAAUAACAUACAAUAUAAAUAAUUACCAAAUUAACCUAAUUUAAUAAGUUGACAUAUAAGUAAAAGAAUAGCUAAUUUUGUCGAAAUAACUCAAAAUUGGACCUAGAUUUACUCUUUUUGUUUCACUAAACAAACAAAACAUUGUCCUUAUUUGAAUUUUUCUCAAUUUUUAACAAC